GCCCCCAUAGCUCAGUUGGUUUUAGAGCAUCAAGCUUAUAUGAUCACGGCUCACGCUGGGUUGUAUGCAUCUUGGAGGUCAGCGGUUCGACCCCGCUUGGGAGCA
Molecule: non-coding RNA, 105 nt
Organism: Aspergillus alliaceus
Lineage: Eukaryota; Fungi; Ascomycota; Eurotiomycetes; Eurotiales; Aspergillaceae
Source: the annotation of a RefSeq genome assembly